Molecule: ribosomal RNA, 250 nt
Filed under: uncultured bacterium
Lineage: Bacteria
Description: partial 16S ribosomal RNA
Rfam family: Bacterial small subunit ribosomal RNA
Source: RNAcentral
UCGAGAGGCUUCGGCAAUGGGGGAAACCCUGACCGAGCGACGCCGCGUGAAGGAUGAAGGCCCUUGGGUUGUAAACUUCUUUUGUCAGCGAAGAAAUGCGAUCAGGUGAAUAAUCUGGUCGCUUGACGGUAGCUGACGAAUAAGCUCCGGCUAACUCCGUGCCAGCAGCCGCGGUAACACGGGGGGAGCAAGCGUUGUUCGGAAUCACUGGGCGUAAAGGGCGUGUAGGCGGUCAGAUAAGUGAGAUGUG